UCAUCAGUGAGGCUGUUCCUUACCUGUUCCUUCUUAUGGAAAAACAGACAUGAUAAAUCGGGGAGGCUGAGUAUAUGAAUUUUCAGCAGUGGUUGAUUCAAAGUCUCUCGAUGUAGUCAGGGUUUUGAG
Small nucleolar RNA from Pseudophryne corroboree (corroboree frog), 129 nucleotides. RefSeq annotates it as U8 small nucleolar RNA. The record is from RefSeq and is a predicted model, not a curated record. NCBI's taxonomy places the organism in Eukaryota, Metazoa, Chordata, Amphibia, Anura, Myobatrachidae. The transcript has a single exon.